Molecule: long non-coding RNA, 1224 nt
Organism: Mandrillus leucophaeus (drill)
Lineage: Eukaryota; Metazoa; Chordata; Mammalia; Primates; Cercopithecidae
Exons: 3
Source: RefSeq, a predicted model, not a curated record
CAAAUCCUGCCCAGCCCCCGGGGCAGCCAUGGAAUCUUCCCAGCUGGCUUGAGGGCACAUCUCCCAAAAUGCAGAGAAGGCAGGGUGGCUAGGAAGGGCUCUAGUAGAAUUCUCCCCUUAUCUUGUCUGGAAACAAGGGGCAAAGGGCUAUCUAUUUCCUCCUGCCAUCCUCCUGCCCCCAACAGGAUUCCUCACAUCCCAGGCCCAGCUGGAAAAGGCGGUGAGAGUUGGAAAGAGACUGCUCAGUGAGGACUGCCCUGUCAACCUGCUUGGAUUCAUCCCAUCCACCUCCACGUUCUGCACACGGGGCAGGGGGAAGGGAGGCAGCCGAGGCAGCCAGAGAACUUGAUGAAACACACUCAAUCUGAAUCUCACUUGAUCGUCAUGCUGACCCAGUGAGUCUGCUCACGGUAAGGCAUCCUUUCCGACUACUCACUCAGCUGCGAAUCCCCACCCGCCUCUGACUCCCAGCGUCUUUCGGCUCCAACGUAAGUUCACCGAAUGUCUAAGAGCUGAGGAUUCAAAGGCAUGUAAGACCCCCCGUGCCCUCAGCUGCAAGACCUGCCCGCGAUCCUACGAGCCCCGUUCCGCCCUCUUUCCCCGACCUUGGUCCCCCAUGGUCCCUACAACCAAGUCCCCGACUGACACCUUGACCAGCGAACACAGCAAACAGGCCCGCAGAUGCCGCAGGUCCUUCGGCACUGUCUCCAGGGCCAUCUUCUCCGAUGGGAAGAGCAACACGGAGAUACACUGCCACAGGCUGCGCACCCGCAGGAAGUAAAUAGCUCGUUACCCAGAAUGCCCGCCACUUCUGGCGCUCAGACUUCCUCUUCCGGUGUGGGAGGGCGCCUGCUCCGCCCCUACCCCCGCCAGAGGAGAUGGUUUCUCCCACCGGCAGGCGGGGAGGCGGGGCGGUCGGCCGCCACCUGGGCUGGGGCGCGUCCCCGCCACCUGAGCCCGCCAAGGGCGCGGCGGAGGCUGCGUAGGGUAGUUAGCGGGCCCCCGAGGGGCGGGGCGGGGCGGGUGGCUGCGCUUGCGCGGGAGUUCGUCGGCCUGAGCCGCAGCGACGCGACGCGGGCCGUUUGAUGUGGGGUGCUGGCACUGGGGCGCCGGUCCCGUUCCCGAUGGUAACCCGAAGUUUUUUGUUUUGUUUUGUCUUUCCGUUGUAGAAGCACUGGGGGCAGUGAAUCCACUGUCUCCCUCUGGAUUAUCUCUGCAGAGACC